RNAcentral lists this long non-coding RNA (801 nucleotides) under Vigna radiata. RNAcentral describes it as "long non-coding RNA (VRAD_LNC003250)". The record is from RNAcentral. Lineage: Eukaryota; Viridiplantae; Streptophyta; Magnoliopsida; Fabales; Fabaceae.
GUUAGAUCUUUUACUAUGGCUUAAGCAUUAAGCGGGGAAGUCUCUUCAGAGGUCAGAAAAAGAAGAAAUUGAAACAAAACAAUGGCCGGAAGUCCAAGAAACUUGAAGAUUUAAUGAUGAAGAAUGUGGAAGGGUUUUGAUGACUGGCGCAUUGCAUUUGUACAUCAUGUUUUUUAUAGUCUAAGAGGAAAAAAAUCAGAAAACCAAAAAAUUACCAGUGUUUCUCGCUUUCUACCUGCACUUCCAAAAUUACAUAUUUGUCUCUCAUUUAAUAAAAGUCAAAGUAGUAUUAAUGAUACACCCCUAGCUACCAACAACCCUAUAAACCUUAAGAGAUCCACCCCCUUCUUCGUUGUUCUUAUACUCUGAAUCAUUUCCUUGAGUUCACUUAUUACUCUUUCAUUAGUUUAAGUUGAGCGUGGUGGUCAUCUGGUGGUGAUAGUUGGUUGUUGGUGGGAGGAAGAAGAAGAGUGGUGGUGAUACUUCUUGCUGAAGAACUGGGUUGCUGAAGAAGAAGAAGGUUUAGUAUGGAAACAAAAUUUUCCUUUCAUUUUAUUAAAUAAACCUCACAUUCUUUUAUAACUUUCAAUAUAUCAGUAAGUUUAAAUGUACAGUUGGGACUUUUUUUUUAAUAGAAUAAGAAAAAUAUUCCAUCAGGGGUGCUUUAUUCAUUAAAAGAGUAACAAUGUCAAUUUCACUUAACUCACCAUUUAUUUCUGACUCAUGGGAGUUUUGGAUGAUGGAGUUUCUUGAAGCUACUAAAACAAAUUUUUAAAAGGGAUUUGGGAUUGGUACAUGAGU